AGUCUCGUAGCUCAGACGGUUAGAGCGCUACACUGAUAAUGUAGAGGUCCGCGGUUCAAUUCCGCGCGAGACUACGA
RNAcentral lists this transfer RNA (77 nucleotides) under Blattabacterium sp. (Mastotermes darwiniensis) str. MADAR. RNAcentral describes it as "tRNA-Ile". It matches the Rfam family "tRNA". Rfam says of the family: Transfer RNA (tRNA) molecules are approximately 80 nucleotides in length. Lineage: Bacteria; Pseudomonadati; Bacteroidota; Flavobacteriia; Flavobacteriales; Blattabacteriaceae. The record is from RNAcentral.